This 773-nucleotide long non-coding RNA is filed under the name Eptatretus burgeri (inshore hagfish). Its description in RNAcentral is "lncRNA (ENSEBUG00000017273.1)". The record is from RNAcentral. Lineage: Eukaryota; Metazoa; Chordata; Myxini; Myxiniformes; Myxinidae.
GCUGAUUGGACGAGAUUUUAAUCACGUGAUGUGGAUCAAAGCCUGUUUUGCGAGUCGUUGGCCUGAGGAGAAUUUUGGAGCUUCAGGUGAAAUAGCACCUGAUAAAUAUUUGACUGAAAAUUAAAACAUUUCGUUCUUUUUAUUUGGUUUUCUUCACAAUUCGCGUUAUAAAAUGGAGAAGAGUUGGGAACUAAUUCCAGAGAGACGACCGUUGCUAGAAAGCAGCAAGCGUGUGGCGAACGAGAAUGACCGACCUUCCUUUAUCUUCCCUUGGCGAUCCUUUCCUGGGUUGGUUCAAAACGCGCCCAGCACGGCUCCAAGGACCGUGGCCCAAAAUUUUGAUGAGACCCAGGACGCCUUACCGUCCACAAAUUCGAUUACAAAGUCAGACAAGUGUUUUCAUGCUAACCUUGAAGAACCUGCACACUCACUCUCAGGCCUUAUUACCAACAUUAUUGAGAAACAACAUGAGUAUGAUGAUGAGAUGGCCAAGGAGUUGCAAGUUUUGAAAGAGUCUAAUGAAAUACUGUGCAAAGUGCAAGCAAGGUGCAAGGAACUCCAGCAAGAGGUGGUCUGUGUGGAGAGGCGACUGUGGCCUGUGCAGAGGCAAAAGGCAGAGGCAAAACUGAGCUGCAUGCAAGCUGGGAAAAGGGUCACACACACACACACACACACACACACACACACACACACACACACACACACACACACACACACACACACACCAAUCCGUAACUUUUACGUUGCAUAUCACAAUGUUUCCCUAGACUCCG